Molecule: ribosomal RNA, 468 nt
Filed under: uncultured bacterium
Lineage: Bacteria
Description: partial 16S ribosomal RNA
Rfam family: Bacterial small subunit ribosomal RNA
Source: RNAcentral
GACGAUCGCUGGCGGCGUGCUUAACACAUGCAAGUCGAACGGAAAGGCCCUGCUUUUGUGGGGUGCUCGAGUGGCGAACGGGUGAGUAACGCGUGAGUAACCUGCCCUUGACUUUGGGAUAACUUCAGGAAACUGGGGCUAAUACCGGAUAGGAGCUCCUGCUGCAUGGUGGGGGUUGGAAAGUUUCGGCGGUUGGGGAUGGACUCGCGGCUUAUCAGCUUGUUGGUGGGGUAGUGGCUUACCAAGGCUUUGACGGGUAGCCGGCCUGAGAGGGUGACCGGCCACAUUGGGACUGAGAUACGGCCCAGACUCCUACGGGAGGCAGCAGUGGGGAAUAUUGCACAAUGGGCGGAAGCCUGAUGCAGCAACGCCGCGUGCGGGAUGACGGCCUUCGGGUUGUAAACCGCUUUCGCCUGUGACGAAGCGUGAGUGACGGUAAUGGGUAAAGAAGCACCGGCUAACUACGUG